This 48-nucleotide small nucleolar RNA is filed under the name Pyrobaculum neutrophilum V24Sta. RNAcentral's name for it is "PNEsR102". The record is from RNAcentral. Lineage: Archaea; Thermoproteati; Thermoproteota; Thermoprotei; Thermoproteales; Thermoproteaceae.
AUGAUGAAGACGGGAUAUGACGAUGAGUGAAGAGGAGAACCCAGCUGA